UACGAAGGGAUCUAGCGUUGUUCGGAAUCACUGGGCGUAAAGCGCACGUAGGCGGCUGUGUCAGUCAGGGGUGAAAUCCCGGAGCUCAACUUCGGAACUGCCUUUGAUACAGCACGUCUUGAGUCCGAUAGAGGUGGGUGGAAUUCCUAGUGUAGAGGUGAAAUUCGUAGAUAUUCGCAAGAACACCAGUGGCGAAGGCGGCUCACUGGCCCGGUACUGACGCUGAGGCACGAAAGCGUGGGGAGCAAACAGG
This 253-nucleotide ribosomal RNA is filed under the name uncultured bacterium. RNAcentral describes it as "partial 16S ribosomal RNA". It matches the Rfam family "Bacterial small subunit ribosomal RNA", at positions 524 to 776 of the family's 1533-position model. The record is from RNAcentral.